CCCCUUUACUUGAGUCCACUUCAGUCCUAUUUGUUGACCAUAUAACUUAAUAUACUUAGUUUAAUACAUACUUUAGGUAUGAAUAGCUAACAAUAGAACAUACAGAAAAUCAAAAGCAUUUAUAGUUUUGUAUAGUUAUUUAUUUACAAAAUGUACCCGUGUAUACAUUGACACAUUAAAAUCAAAUAUACACAAAUAUCUAGAGAUUAAGUCCCAUAACCCCAGCAUGUGGUUCUCAUACCCCCAUGGGGUAUGAAUACCCAUUAUUAAUAACCCCUGGUUAAAAAAAUCAUCUGUAUCCGUUAACCAUCGGGGUACACCACAUCUCCUAGGGAAGAAAUCGCUCCCUUAUGGAAAUAAGUGAUAACACUAAUGGUCAUUGUAAAAGCAAUGAUGUAUCAUCACCUGGUUGUUUUUCUUAUCCCCGUGUUGAUGAUAAUGAAUCUUUUCAACGGGACUUCAGCCUAUCAGUAAUGUUAAAUUGCUUACCAAUAUAACUGGGAUUCUAUUGGGGAAAAACAUUACAUUACACGCACCACCGGCCUAAGGUCCAAUGAUUGGGGAGAAUCUACAGAAGAAGGUCUACAAUACUUCGGAGUUUUAUUGUUUAUAACUUUUCUGAAUAUGGGUUCCUUGGCACAUAUUCGCUAACUGGAUCAAACACAUGAAUAAGUGUGAUAAGCAGAAAAGAGGGAAAUUUUUUUUUUUUUUUUCAAACACCGUCAAAGACAUUUUCGAGCAAUUAAAAUCCACUGACUAUGAAACGCCGAAGCAGUGUAACAAGUAACUAAUGGAAGACCCAACAGAUGUCGCACCGUAAGGACAUACGGGAACAAGGAGGAGUGGGACACAAAAAGUUAAGUAUAUCUUAGUUAGCCAGACCACUGAGCUGACUAACAGCUCUCUUAGGCUGGCCCAAAGGAUUAGAUAUUUUUACGCGCCUAGGAACCAAUUGGUUACCUAGCAACGGGACCUACAGCUUAUUGUGGGAUCCGAACCACAUCAUAUCGAGAAAUGAAUUUCUAAUCAACAGAAAUACACUUCCCUGAUUCCAUGUUAGCAGAGUGGGGAAUCGAACUCGCGACUACCAAAUCGAUGGGCGAGCACGUUCACCACUCGGCCAACGAGGAUCUGGAGUGAAAAGCAGGCAUUUUUCUUGAGCAUACAAUAAAGUAUCCAUAUUCCAAUAUCGUUAAGAAAGUGGUCGUCAAGAUUUUGUUGUUGACGGUAGGGUUUCUAUGUAAAAUGUGCAGUUAAGGAAAUAUGCGGAAUAAAUAUGAGAAUAUAAGGGAUUCGGAAGUCACAUCUUAGCUUGUUUAUCUUCUCCAAGUUCCUCAACAAGGCGACUGGAUCUCUCUUCCUCAAUUUAACUCUGUGAUGGAGAGAAGAAAACCAGUAGGCGUGUGAGAGAGAGAGAGAGAGAGAGAGAGAAUUAAAAAGGACUUGUUUGACAUAAGUUUUCAGGUUUAUAGGGAACGACUGAGUAGUUAAUACCGUUACAAUUAUGAAAAGUCGAUUUUCGAAGAUACCGGUUAUAAAGAUAAUAUUUCUUUCGAUCCCGACAGAAGUUUCACUCAGAAAUUAUUUUGGAAUCGAUUUUUUGAAAUCCAGAUUUGAGAAUUUUUUUUGUUUAUAAUUACCAUUAAUGAACCAUUAUGGAAAUCAACAAAAUAAUUUUCAUCGUGUAAAUUUGAUUUUCGUUAAAUUUUUUCUCUUUUAUACAUCGGUAUUCGUCUGCAAAAUCUGUUUUGGGCCAGGCGAGGUUAUUUUUGGAGACUCAAAUGAAGACGCUAGUUUCCUUUAAUAAGCGAGUUUGUGUCGACGGACUAUUGAAAUUAUGCUUUUCCAGGGUCCUUGCGCAGCGCCCUUGUCUAGUGACGUCAUCGACUGCUGAUUUUCGGUCAUGUAAAAUCUUCCUUCAUUUUGACAGUUGGGUGGUAGACGUUUCUUUCAGUACGAUGUGUGGUUCGGCGGUUGUCCAUUUCGGUUCAUCUGCUCCAACGUAAUUAAAGCUGAGUCCCAUUGGAAGGUGUGAUUUUUCUAUUUUAUUUGACGUCAACUUCGUUUAUUUUCAAGACUGCUUUCGACGCCAUGGGUUGGUGUCAGUGACGGCCAGUGAGGCAGUAACUUUCUUUUGUUCCAGGCCGACUCGUACUUUUCCCGUCUCGCUGUCUACAUGUGGUCCUUACGGAUUGAUUUAAGAUAAGUAUUUAGUUUAUUGGCGGCGGUCUUUUUUAUUUAUUAUUUUUUUUCUUCAUGGAUAAGCUUGUGCCAUUUGAGUAAGAGUUUUACCUUGACCGCUCCGUAGAUCUCUUUAAUACAUUGUGAUAAAAAUCUAGGAUCAAUAUUUUUAUUUAUUUUUAGUGUAUUUUUUCUUUAUCAGAUCUUGCCGAGGACCUGCGUGUUGGAAUGUGGUUUAUUACAGGAAUGACGUUAUGAUGAAUAUUCAAGACCGGUUGAAAAAAAGAAAAAGAAGAAAAACUGCCGCCAUCCUGAGAUUCUUCGGAACUUCAAUAUCCAAUUUUUUUUUUCUACUUUUCCUCCACCCCAUCGGGGGCGGUGCCCCUGAUCGGGUGGAGGGGCUCCUAAGGGCUUGCACAGUAGGCGUGUUGGCCUACUGUGCUAGUCCUUGGAGUAAUCGUUUUUUUCAGUUUCAGAUUACCGUGAGUUUUACCUUUACUAUUAAUAUUAAUUUUUUAGACUGUUAAUCUAGUAAUUUCAAUAAUUUGUGUCGCUGUUAAUGUUUUGUACAUUUAAUGGUUUGUAUAAGUCUGAUGGUUUGUAUAAAACUGGUCUGUGAGUUCCUGUCUUAACAUUAGUAAGCCAUAUAUAAAGUAUGUUUUUAUGGUAUUAAGUUUAUUAGCAUAAUCCACUCUGGUUUUAGUUACUUUUCACCCUUAUACUGUGAUUUCAAAAGAUAUAUUUUUUAUAUUAUUAGUUUUGGUAAAUUUUUCAUAAAUUUUUCAUAGUA
Molecule: long non-coding RNA, 2971 nt
Organism: Macrobrachium nipponense
Lineage: Eukaryota; Metazoa; Arthropoda; Malacostraca; Decapoda; Palaemonidae
Exons: 3
Source: RefSeq, a predicted model, not a curated record